UCAUGAUGAACGCUAGCUGCAGGCUUAACACAUGCAAGUCGAGGGGCAGCAUGGUCUUAGCUUGCUAAGGCCGAUGGCGACCGGCGCACGGGUGAGUAACACGUAUCCAACCUGCCGUCUACUCUUGGACAGCCUUCUGAAAGGAAGAUUAAUACAAGAUGGCAUCAUGAGUCCACAUGUUCACAUGAUUAAAGGUAUUCCGGUAGACGAUGGGGAUGCGUUCCAUUAGAUAGUAGGCGGGGUAACGGCCCACCUAGUCUUCGAUGGAUAGGGGUUCUGAGAGGAAGGUCCCCCACAUUGGAACUGAGACACGGUCCAAACUCCUACGGGAGGCAGCAGUGAGGAAUAUUGGUCAAUGGGCGAGAGCCUGAACCAGCCAAGUAGCGUGAAGGAUGACUGCCCUAUGGGUUGUAAACUUCUUUUAUAAAGGAAUAAAGUCGGGUAUGGAUACCCGUUUGCAUGUACUUUAUGAAUAAGGAUCGGCUAACUCCGUGCCAGCAGCCGCGGUAAUACGGAGGAUCCGAGCGUUAUCCGGAUUUAUUGGGUUUAAAGGGAGCGUAGAUGGAUGUUUAAGUCAGUUGUGAAAGUUUGCGGCUCAACCGUAAAAUUGCAGUUGAUACUGGAUAUCUUGAGUGCAGUUGAGGCAGGCGGAAUUCGUGGUGUAGCGGUGAAAUGCUUAGAUAUCACGAAGAACUCCGAUUGCGAAGGCAGCCUGCUAAGCUGCAACUGACAUUGAGGCUCGAAAGUGUGGGUAUCAAACAGGAUUAGAUACCCUGGUAGUCCACACGGUAAACGAUGAAUACUCGCUGUUUGCGAUAUACAGCAAGCGGCCAAGCGAAAGCGUUAAGUAUUCCACCUGGGGAGUACGCCGGCAACGGUGAAACUCAAAGGAAUUGACGGGGGCCCGCACAAGCGGAGGAACAUGUGGUUUAAUUCGAUGAUACGCGAGGAACCUUACCCGGGCUUAAAUUGCAGAUGAAUUACGGUGAAAGCCGUAAGCCGCAAGGCAUCUGUGAAGGUGCUGCAUGGUUGUCGUCAGCUCGUGCCGUGAGGUGUCGGCUUAAGUGCCAUAACGAGCGCAACCCUUGUUGUCAGUUACUAACAGGUUCCGCUGAGGACUCUGACAAGACUGCCAUCGUAAGAUGUGAGGAAGGUGGGGAUGACGUCAAAUCAGCACGGCCCUUACGUCCGGGGCUACACACGUGUUACAAUGGGGGGUACAGAGGGCCGCUACCACGCGAGUGGAUGCCAAUCCCAAAAACCUCUCUCAGUUCGGACUGGAGUCUGCAACCCGACUCCACGAAGCUGGAUUCGCUAGUAAUCGCGCAUCAGCCACGGCGCGGUGAAUACGUUCCCGGGCCUUGUACACACCGCCCGUCAAGCCAUGGGAGCCGGGGGUACCUGAAGUGCGUAACCGCGAGGAGCGCCCUAGGGUAAAACUGGU
RNAcentral lists this ribosomal RNA (1444 nucleotides) under uncultured organism. Its description in RNAcentral is "SSU rRNA". It matches the Rfam family "Bacterial small subunit ribosomal RNA". The record is from RNAcentral.